UAGCUAGUUGGUGAGGUAAAGGCUUACCAAGGCGACGAUCUGUAGCGGGUCUGAGAGGAUGAUCCGCCACACUGGAACUGAGACACGGUCCAGACUCCUACGGGAGGCAGCAGUGGGGAAUUUUGGACAAUGGGGGCAACCCUGAUCCAGCCAUGCCGCGUGAGUGAAGAAGGCCUUCGGGUUGUAAAGCUCUUUCGGCCGGGAAGAAAUCGCAUGGGCCAAUACCCUGUGUGGAUGACGGUACCGGAAUAAGAAGCACCGGCUAACUACGUGCCAGCAGCCGCGGUAAUACGUAGGGUGCGAGCGUUAAUCGGAAUUACUGGGCGUAAAGCGUGCGCAGGCGGUUUUGUAAGACAGGCGUGAAAUCCCCGGGCUUAACCUGGGAACUGCGUUUGUGACUGCAAGGCUAGAGUACGGCAGAGGGGGGUGGAAUUCCACGUGUAGCAGUGAAAUGCGUAGAGAUGUGGAGGAACACCAAUGGCGAAGGCAGCCCCCUGGGUCGAUACUGACGCUCAUGCACGAAAGCGUGGGUAGCAAACAGGAUUAGAUACCCUGGUAGUCCACGCCCUAAACUAUGUCAACUAGGUGUUGGGUGGGUAAAACCAUUUAGUACCGUAGCUAACGCGUGAAGUUGACCGCCUGGGGAGUACGGCCGCAAGGUUAAAACUCAAAGGAAUUGACGGGGACCCGCACAAGCGGUGGAUGAUGUGGAUUAAUUCGAUGCAACGCGAAAAACCUUACCUACCCUUGACAUGCCAGGAACUUGCCAGAGAUGGCUUGGUGCCCGAAAGGGAGCCUGGACACAGGUCUGCAUGGCUGUCGUCAGCUCGUGUCGUGAGAUGUUGGGUUAAGUCCCGCAACGAGCGCAACCCUUGUCGUUAAUUGCCAUCAUUUAGUUGGGCACUUUAACGAGACUGCCGGUGACAAACCGGAGGAAGGUGGGGAUGACGUCAAGUCCUCAUGGCCCUUAUGGGUAGGGCUUCACACGUCAUACAAUGGUCGGUACAAAGGGUUGCCAAGCCGCGAGGCGGAGCCAACCCCAGAAAGCCGAUCGUAGUCCGGAUUGCAGGCUGCAACUCGCCUGCAUGAAGUCGGAAUCGCUAGUAAUCGUGGAUCAGCAUGUCACGGUGAAUACGUUCCCGGGUCUUGUACACACCGCCCGUCACACCAUGGGAGCGGGUUCCGCCAGAAGUAGGUAGCCUAACCGCAAGGGGGGCGCUUACCACGGCGGGGUUCGUGACUGGGGUGAAGUCGGAACGAGGUAGCCGUAGGGGAACCUGCGGCUG
Molecule: ribosomal RNA, 1286 nt
Filed under: metagenome
Description: bacterial SSU rRNA
Rfam family: Bacterial small subunit ribosomal RNA
Source: RNAcentral